CUAAUACAUGCAGUCGAGCGCGGGAAGCAGAAAGAUUCCUUCGGGAUGACAUCUGUGGAACGAGCGGCGGAUGGGUGAGUAACACGUGGGCAACCUGCCUGUAAGACUGGGAUAACUCCGGGAAACCGGGGCUAAUACCGGAUAGAGUUUUCUCUCGCAUGAGAGGAAACGGAAAGGCGGCUUCGGCUGUCACUUACAGAUGGGCCCGCGGCGCAUUAGCUAGUUGGUGGGGUAACGGCUCACCAAGGCGACGAUGCGUAGCCGACCUGAGAGGGUGAUCGGCCACACUGGGACUGAGACACGGCCCAGACUCCUACGGGAGGCAGCAGUAGGGAAUCUUCCGCAAUGGACGAAAGUCUGACGGAGCAACGCCGCGUGAACGAAGAAGGUUUUCGGAUCGUAAAGUUCUGUUGUUAGGGAAGAACAAGUACCGUUUGAAUAAGGCGGUACCUUGACGGUACCUAUCGAGAAAGCCCCGGCUAACUACGUGCCAGCAGCCGCGGUAAUACGUAGGGGGCAAGCGUUGUCCGGAUUUAUUGGGCGUAAAGCGCGCGUAGGCGGUUUCUUAAGUCUGAUGUGAAAUCUUGCGGCUCAACCGCAAGCGGUCAUUGGAAACUGGGGAACUUGAGUGCAGAAGAGGAGAGUGGAAUUCCACGUGUAGCGGUGAAAUGCGUAGAGAUGUGGAGGAACACCAGUGGCGAAGGCGG
This 707-nucleotide ribosomal RNA is filed under the name uncultured bacterium. RNAcentral's name for it is "bacterial SSU rRNA". It matches the Rfam family "Bacterial small subunit ribosomal RNA", at positions 48 to 724 of the family's 1533-position model. The record is from RNAcentral.